GCCUUCAUGGUGUAGUGGUCAGCAUGCUCGCGUAACCAAGAGAUCCAGGGUUCGAGUCCCGGUGAAGCUG
This 70-nucleotide transfer RNA is filed under the name Stegodyphus mimosarum. It matches the Rfam family "tRNA". From Rfam's summary of the family: Transfer RNA (tRNA) molecules are approximately 80 nucleotides in length. The record is from Rfam by way of RNAcentral. Lineage: Eukaryota; Metazoa; Arthropoda; Arachnida; Araneae; Eresidae.